GUCCACGCUGUAAACGAUGAUUACUCGAUGUUGGCGAUACACAGUCAGCGUCUGAGCGAAAGCAAUAAGUAAUCCACCUGGGGGAGUACGAUCGCAAGAUUGAAACUCAAAGGAAUUGACGGGGGGCCCGCACAAGCGGAGGAGCAUGUGGUUUAAUUCGAUGAUACGCGAGGAACCUUACCUGGGCUCGAACGUAAGAUGACUGUAGGUGAAAGCUUACAUCUCUUCGGAGCAUUUUACGAGGUGCUGCAUGGUUGUCGU
Molecule: ribosomal RNA, 261 nt
Filed under: uncultured bacterium
Lineage: Bacteria
Description: partial 16S ribosomal RNA
Rfam family: Bacterial small subunit ribosomal RNA
Source: RNAcentral